UUUGGUAAAAAAAACAAACAAAGACAGAAAUAAAGGACAGGACAAGGAUAAAGUGAAACGGGACCGAGCUCGAUUACUAGUUCAGUUGCAAUUUAAUUUGAGGACAAAUAUGCUUUUUUUCAUAUUACUGUAUAACACUCUUAUUAUUUCUCGCACAUACUCACUUUCUAAUUCUUCAAUGCAGCGUUGCAUAUUUUAGGUUUAUGUUAAGAAUUUGGUGUUUGCAUGAGUAUUGUGUUAUGUUGACUUACUUUUUUGUAUAACUACACAUGGUGGCAUAACAACUACCAAGUUUGUGUCUUGAAAGGUAAAAUAUGAUUUGUUGAUCAUUGAUUAAAGGUCACAAAGUUGUUGUGCACAUGAGUGUUAAAAUCAAUAAAUAAAAUUACAAUUUUGGUUCAUAGUCCUGUCCCAAUGACUCAGUGAUCUUCGUAAGAUUGAGAGUGGUUCUUCAUGAGUUUAAAUGUGCUAUUUUUUUUUUCUUCUUUUUCCCGUAAUAUUAUAUAGCCAAUGGAAUCGAUAUUGAUGUUAUGCAAUGAUUUUUAAAAAAUGUUGAUUAAUUUUUUUUUUAAUUUAUGUAUUGGUAGUUUGUCUUG
This 596-nucleotide long non-coding RNA is filed under the name Medicago truncatula (barrel medic). RNAcentral describes it as "long non-coding RNA (MTRU_LNC006382)". Lineage: Eukaryota; Viridiplantae; Streptophyta; Magnoliopsida; Fabales; Fabaceae. The record is from RNAcentral.